AGUCGGUGCUUUUUUUAUAAAAGCCGUGUUCUCUUGGUUUGGCAAGAACAGAACACGCCGAGUAACCCCAGCCCGUGAUCUCCGACACAUACAGUCUCCGCCGGCUUCAAUCAUGUCUGGAUUCUUAGAUCAAGCCCAGCAGAAGGCACAGGAUUCAGUAAAGCAAGGUGAACAGGUGGUCCAAGACUGUGUGGACAAAGGGAAGCAAAUAGGACAGCAAGUUAUCGACCAAGGCUGCCAAGCCGCUCAGAAGACAUGCGAUGAUGUCACCGGGCAAGUGACAUCGCAGGUCAAAGAUACGCUCCCCGGAGGAUGGACGAAAUGAGCUGCGGUCUACUUUCAAUCAUCAUGAUGGAGAUUUUCUCUUUACAAUAAACAGAAUAAACUAUUGGUAA
This is a long non-coding RNA of Spea bombifrons (plains spadefoot toad), 395 nucleotides long. RefSeq lists it as uncharacterized. The transcript has 3 exons. NCBI's taxonomy places the organism in Eukaryota, Metazoa, Chordata, Amphibia, Anura, Pelobatidae. The record is from RefSeq and is a predicted model, not a curated record.